Molecule: ribosomal RNA, 253 nt
Filed under: uncultured bacterium
Lineage: Bacteria
Description: partial 16S ribosomal RNA
Rfam family: Bacterial small subunit ribosomal RNA
Source: RNAcentral
UACAGAGGGGGCAAGCGUUGUCCGGACUUACUGGGUGUAAAGCGCAUGCAGGUGGCUGUGCAAGUAUGCUGUGAAAGCCCCGUGCUUAACACGGGGAGGCCAGUAUAGACUGCACGGCUCGAGGACUGCAGAGGGUAGGGGAAUUGCUGGUGUAGUGGUGAAAUGCGUAGAGAUCAGCAGGAACACCAAGGCCGAAGGGACCUACCUGGGCAGUAUCUGACACUCAAGUGCGGCAGCGUGGGGAGCGAACCGG